GACGAACGCUGGCGGCGGGCUUAACACAUGCAAGUCGAACGGAAAGGCCCUGCUUGUGUGCGGUUCUCGAGUGGCGAACGGGUGAGUAACACGUGAGUAUCCUGCCCUUGACUUUGGUAUAACUUCAGGAAACUGGGGCUAAUACCGGACAGGAGCUCCUGCUGCGUGGAGGGGGGUGGAACGUCUCGGCGGUUGGGGAUGGACUCGCGGCUGAUCAGCUUGUUGGUGGGGUAGUGGCUUACCAAGGCUUUGACGGGUAGCCGGCCUGAGAGGGUGACCGGCCACAUUGGGACUGAGAUACGGCCCAGACUCCUACGGGAGGCAGCAGUGGGGAAUAUUGCACAAUGGGCGGAAGCCUGAUGCAGCAACGCCGCGUGCGGGAUGACGGUCUUCGGGUUGUAAACCGCUUUCGCCUGUGACGAAGCGUGAGUGACGGUAAUGGGUAAAGAAGCACCGGCUAACUACGUG
Molecule: ribosomal RNA, 468 nt
Filed under: uncultured bacterium
Lineage: Bacteria
Description: partial 16S ribosomal RNA
Rfam family: Bacterial small subunit ribosomal RNA
Source: RNAcentral